This is a long non-coding RNA of Daphnia magna, 3218 nucleotides long. RefSeq lists it as uncharacterized. The transcript is spliced from 3 exons. NCBI's taxonomy places the organism in Eukaryota, Metazoa, Arthropoda, Branchiopoda, Diplostraca, Daphniidae. The record is from RefSeq and is a predicted model, not a curated record.
ACAUAUUUUUUCUGCACUUGGGCCAACGCCCCGUCAGCACGCCAGAAAAUCGUUCCCCUUUUUUUUUCUUUUUCUUUUCUUUUUUUUUUACCGUAGACCAGCUUUUUUUCUUUUGUUUGCUUUUUUUUUCGGGGCGUCCGAAAGUUCUUUUUAUUUCGUGCAGGGUUAGACGGUCCAGUUGUACAGUUAGUCGUUGUGAAUGGUUCGAUUUUGGGAACGUACUUUUAUUCAUCAGUAGCGCAGGUGUGUGUUGCACAAUGGCCCUUGUCAAACAAAAACAGAAAAACGAGUUAUUUCAAUUAUUAUUAGUUGUGUGUGUGUGUGUGGCUGUUUUUAAAAUCGUAUGGUACUAGUCGGCGCAUGGAACCUGAUGCCAGUACAACCUUGAAUGGCAAUACUGAACAUGUUUCUUUCUUUGGUCUUCACUUGCUUAGAAAGCUCGUUUUCUUGGAGCAUUGUCUGCUUCGACGGAGUCUGUACGUGACAAGUGGAUUUCACGAUUGUUGAAAUGGGGAAAAAACAAAACAAAAACGGGUUUAUCAUUUUACGUAAACGGCCGUUCUUUUUUGUUUUACAGAAAAAAGUGGGGGGAGGUAAAAUUAACGAUCUGUGGGAGCUGAAAUGUUUGCCAAUCAAUCAGGAUUGUCGACAUGAUUUGUAUUUUUAAAAAGCGCAACUCGAAUGUCUGGUUAGAUGUUUUUAAUUUUUUGGAAAUAUUUUUUUUUCUUCUUUUUCGAGAUGGGUGUUCGGAAAAUUCAAACACCGUGACCCGCUGCUUCGUGUGUCGGGCCAGUCUCUUUCUCUCUUUCUGUGGGAAACCCAAAAAAGAUUUCAAAAAAAACAAAAUAAAUUUAAAAAGGCGACUCGUUAUACUUUCUCGACUUCCAGUCUGCCAACGUUACUGAGAGAGAGAGAGACUUCAAUCAUCAGGAAUUCCGAGCUGGAAAUCUGGGGGUCUUUUUUGUUCCCCGACCCUUUUUUUUUUAUUUUCAUUUUUUCUUAGGGGGAGUCCUUUAAAAAAAAAAAUAUCCAAAGUUGUGAUUCGAAUGACGUGAUAGAGUUUCUUGUAAAGUGAAAACCGACAGCAGUGAAAUACACGACAUUAUACGAUGGGUGGCAGGUGAAACCGUAACACGGGGCCAAGCAAAGGAAAAAAACAACAAACUGUUCCAGCCAGAAGCAGCGCUCAUUUCGAAUGACCUCGCCCGACUUGCACGGCCAACAACUCCGGUUUCUCCUUAAUUCAGUCCCCACCAAUGAUUAUUUCAACAGCAAAAACAACAACAAAAAACGAAGCUACCCCCCUCCAGGGCACGAUCCGGCGCAGCGGUGGAUGCCUGUACGGGUCGGAGCAAUUGCAAGAAAGUGGUCAAUCUCCAGUGGAUAGCAACCGAUCACGUUGUGUACCGUCGUCCAUUUCGAAAUUGCACAUCACUUGGACACACGGCCGUUGGGGAAUGCAGUUUGCAGCACGUCUUCUUGCCAUCAGCCGGACAUAACUUCAGUUUUAGGCCAAAUCGUUUGUUCCAGUUGAUCCAGCAAUAAAUUACGUGCUCGUUUGAUUGUACCGGUGGGCUGUGGCGUGUUGAAGUCUGCGGCCGAUGUUGAACAAUGUCGGCCACCACGUUUUGCCUUUCAAUGACGAGCUGCCCCAAUCGACUUGAAUGGUGAUAUCAAUUCAAUUUCAUCUAAUUAACAAUCUAGUUUGGUUUCAUCUGUUGUUAUGGAACCCAUCCAUUGUGAAGGUGUUUUCAUCCAAACCAUUGCCGGCAGCAAGACGAGUGCAAUUGGGAGUCAAUUGCAUCUUCUUUUGCAUAACAGCGUCCAGGGCCACUUGCCUUGCACAGAACAUUUGAUUUCAUUUACCUUUGAAAAUUGAAUUCCAAUCAUUUCUAACUGACCUUUCUUUACCGGAAAAACUUUCCAAAUUGCCAAUCAGGUUUCGUUGUUGCGAGGGGAGGGGUUUUUUUUUUGUUGUUUCAAUUUUGCCUUUAAACUCGAUCGUUCUAAAAAAACAAAACAAAUGACUCCGACGGCUAUCUGUAAGCCAAAACAACUUGGAAUAAAUGGCCAGUGUAUUAAUAGAAUGAAACCCUUCGGUGCGCUGGAUCCAGUCCAAAACGGGGCGACCCGUGGGUAACGUGAACAUCCGGCAAUCGAUUAAUCUCACAAUCUGCGCAUAAUUGCGAAUGAAACUUUGGGUCCAUAAUAAUACGCAGAGUCAUUUGUGUUCCGUUUCCAGUGAAAUUCCAAGUUUUUUCGUUUGCCAAUUCUGACAGGGCGAUGCCUGGCACGACGUCCACAGUUCUGGAGAACUGGAUUUUUUUUAAAUGUACAUAUUUCGCCUUUCACCUUUUUCUGCUCAAAUUGUACAAGAAAAAUUCUCAGGAAGGUUUAAAAAAAAAUGUAAUAAAAUAAAAAUGUCUUGGCUACCACCAAAGACAAUUUCUUAAUCAGGGUCGUUUCGUCUAAUAUGCAAAUGUGGUCAGUUGGACGUGGAAAAAAACUCGACAAAAGGUCAGAUUUGGGCUCGGUUUAGUACCGAAACAAGCCAACCGUAUCCAAACACGCAAUCAAAGACCGUUCGAAUAAGUAAAUGUUAAAUCAAAAUGGCCGCAUUUGCAUGUUUUCGCCCGUUUGACACCAAAAGCGGACUGCGCGUCGAUGAACCGCUUCGUUUCUUUUUUUGUUUGUUCAAAACCAGCGAUCGAUUGUACAGGUAAACAACUUUUUGUUUGAGCUUCAAUUGCAUCCGGUUCUGGCCUUCGAUCAAUCGAUCCUUGACUGGUUUUUUUUUUAAAACUAUUUUCAAAGGGUCUCGGCAGUGUCAUGCGAGUCACUUUCACUAUUCAAGUACGAAUGCGGAGUAUGUCAUUGAGAACGUAUAGAGUGUGCUUUUUGUUUGUUUCAAAAAGUUCGUUUCAAGUUUGACCGGGUUAAAAAAAAACAUUUUUAAAAAAGGGGAGAUAGAAAAUGGCGUCAAUGGCGCGAUUGGGAAAGAAAAAAGGGAGGAAAUGACGAAAGCAAGAGCCGAUCAUUUUGAAAUGCUUUUGUUAGAUGACAACUACUGUAUUUGAUCGUGUAAAAAAACACGAGUAUUUGUGUUUGUUUUAAAAAAAAUGGUUUUCUGUUACCACAACAGAUUUCGGCUUGUACAAACGAGUAAAGAAAUGGCUAAAUAUACAAUUGAAAGAAAAUGUUGCUAAAUCCCAGUGAAA